CCUGGCUCAGGAUGAACGCUAGCGACAGGCUUAACACAUGCAAGUCGAGGGGCAGCACAGGUAGCAAUACCGGGUGGCGACCGGCGCACGGGUGAGUAACGCGUAUGCAACUUGCCUAUCAGAGGGGGAUAACCCGGCGAAAGUCGGACUAAUACCGCAUGAAGCAGGGAUCCCGCAUGGGAAUAUUUGCUAAAGAUUCAUCGCUGAUAGAUAGGCAUGCGUUCCAUUAGGCAGUUGGCGGGGUAACGGCCCACCAAACCGACGAUGGAUAGGGGUUCUGAGAGGAAGGUCCCCCACAUUGGUACUGAGACACGGACCAAACUCCUACGGGAGGCAGCAGUGAGGAAUAUUGGUCAAUGGCCGAGAGGCUGAACCAGCCAAGUCGCGUGAGGGAUGAAGGUUCUAUGGAUCGUAAACCUCUUUUAUAAGGGAAUAAAGUGCGGGACGUGUCCCGUUUUGUAUGUACCUUAUGAAUAAGGAUCGGCUAACUCCGUGCCAGCAGCCGCGGUAAUACGGAGGAUCCGAGCGUUAUCCGGAUUUAUUGGGUUUAAAGGGUGCGUAGGCGGCCUUUUAAGUCAGCGGUGAAAGUCUGUGGCUCAACCAUAGAAUUGCCGUUGAAACUGGGGGGCUUGAGUAUGUUUGAGGCAGGCGGAAUGCGUGGUGUAGCGGUGAAAUGCAUAGAUAUCACGCAGAACCCCGAUUGCGAAGGCAGCCUGCCAAGCCAUUACUGACGCUGAUGCACGAAAGCGUGGGGAUCAAACAGGAUUAGAUACCCUGGUAGUCCACGCAGUAAACGAUGAUCACUAGCUGUUUGCGAUACACUGUAAGCGGCAUAGCGAAAGCGUUAAGUGAUCCACCUGGGGAGUACGCCGGCAACGGUGAAACUCAAAGGAAUUGACGGGGGCCCGCACAAGCGGAGGAACAUGUGGUUUAAUUCGAUGAUACGCGAGGAACCUUACCCGGGUUUGAACGCAUUCGGACCGAGGUGGAAACACCUUUUCUAGCAAUAGCCGUUUGCGAGGUGCUGCAUGGUUGUCGUCAGCUCGUGCCGUGAGGUGUCGGCUUAAGUGCCAUAACGAGCGCAACCCUUGCCACUAGUUACUAACAGGUAAAGCUGAGGACUCUGGUGGGACUGCCAGCGUAAGCUGCGAGGAAGGCGGGGAUGACGUCAAAUCAGCACGGCCCUUACAUCCGGGGCGACACACGUGUUACAAUGGCGUGGACAAAGGGAGGCCACCUGGCGACAGGGAGCGAAUCCCCAAACCACGUCUCAGUUCGGAUCGGAGUCUGCAACCCGACUCCGUGAAGCUGGAUUCGCUAGUAAUCGCGCAUCAGCCAUGGCGCGGUGAAACGUUCCCGGGCCUUGUACACAC
This 1373-nucleotide ribosomal RNA is filed under the name uncultured bacterium. RNAcentral describes it as "bacterial SSU rRNA". It matches the Rfam family "Bacterial small subunit ribosomal RNA", at positions 18 to 1390 of the family's 1533-position model. The record is from RNAcentral.